CCCCUAGAUGUUCUGGGCCGCACGCGCGCUACACUGAACAGUUCAACAAGUCUUAACCUUGGCCGAUAGGUCUGGGUAAUCUUUGAACGCUGUUCGUGAUUGGGAUAGACCUUUGCAAUUAUGGGUCUUCAACGAGGAAUUCCUAGUAAACGCAAGUCAUCAGCUUGCAUUGAUUACGUCCCUGCCCUUUGUACACACCGCCCGUCGCACCUACCGAUCGAAUGGUCCGGUGAAAUCUCGGGACGGCGGCUUGGUCGCUUGCGUCCGACUGCUGAAACUUGAUUAAACCAUAUCAUUUAGAGGAAGGUGAANUCGUANCA
This 320-nucleotide ribosomal RNA is filed under the name uncultured eukaryote. RNAcentral describes it as "partial 18S ribosomal RNA". It matches the Rfam family "Eukaryotic small subunit ribosomal RNA", at positions 1470 to 1796 of the family's 1831-position model. The record is from RNAcentral.